CCAUCAAGCAAAAUUAAUUAACAAGUCAUAAAUAUAAUAAAAUAGUAAUACAGGGUUUAAAUCUCUAUAAGAGCCGCCUAGAGGUAACAAUACAUGUAGAAUUGAAAUCUUUUGAUUUGCUACUAAUGAAUAUAUUGUGUAAAACAAUGUCUCUUUGUUUUGUUGUGGCAACUAGAUAUCAUUACGCAUAGUUAACAGAAACAAAAUGUUGUCUUUGAUUGGGGUGAAUGAACUUGGAAGGGAAGAAAUAAAAUUCAAACUAUGUUAUGAACAAUUGUUUACUGCUAUCUCUAAUAUUUUCUUUCAAUUUUACCUACUCCAUUUCGUUCUCUCUGACAAAACACAACAUAAAUGUAUUGAAAUUACGAUUUAAAUCAUCAUGAGGCAUAAAUUACAUGACAAGUCAUUAUGCCUUCCUCAAGGUGCCUACGUACUCCAGAUAACAUCUAAGGCCAAUGUUAAGUCGGACAUAACCAUGCUGUUAUCCGAACAUCAGAACAGAAAUUUAACAACCAGUUGCGUGCUUAAUAUUAUCAUUAAACAUCAGAACAGAAAUUUAACAACCAGUUGCGUGCUUAAUAUUAUCAUUAAACAUCAGAACAGAAAUUUAACAACCAGUUGCGUGCUUAAUAUUAUCAUUAAACAUCAGAACAGAAAUUUAACAACCAGUUGCGUGCUUAAUAUUAUCAUUAAUGAAAACACGCAAACAACAUCUAAGUGACCAACCACAGAAAAUGAUCCAAUAAAGAUUCUACCAUAUAUCAUCACUAGGUACAACGGUACAAGAAUCUAACACAAAAAAAGUCAACGCGAAAAUAAAACAAACCUCG
This 830-nucleotide long non-coding RNA is filed under the name Daucus carota (carrot). RNAcentral describes it as "long non-coding RNA (DCAR_LNC003069)". The record is from RNAcentral. Lineage: Eukaryota; Viridiplantae; Streptophyta; Magnoliopsida; Apiales; Apiaceae.